GACUGUGUGGCCCUGGGUUGGGCACUGGCCCAGAGUCUGAACAGUCCUUGGUGCCAACUGCACAGGGUAACUCAGGGAUUAGUGCCCGUAAAGCCUCAGCCCACCCAGUACCCAUGGGCAGAACUGGAGGCGGUAGUGCUUGGUGUUGGCAAAGAGGAGAGUUGGUCAGUCGCAGGGUCGGGUCACCUGUUGCUUGUUUCUGGUUCUACCCUGCACUUGCUGUGGGUCCUUGGACAAGCACUUUAAUCUCUCUGAGCCAGGACUCAACUAUAUGAGAUAGAUGUAAUAAGGCAGCCACCUCCAUGGGAUUUCUCCUGUUAAGGCACCUGGUGUGUGGUUCCUGGCAUGUGGGGAGGCUUGAUGGUUGGAGCUGCUGCUGUUAGUUGUUUAUUAUAGGCACAUCAUGUGCUGGGCUUCCAGGGAUGCCAUGUGCUCCCAUCAGGGGGUGGAGGAGCAGAGGGCCUAGGGUCUCGGUGUUGUAGUCAGUCGGACCUGCCUCUGCUACCCACCAGCUGUGCGCCUUCCUCCUGUCUGAGCCUUGGGCCUCUAGAUAAGCCUAAGUUUGCUUAUCUACCGAAUGGGGAUGGAAUAGUUGUCCCAGCUCUUAGGCUGGUGGGCAGGAUUCCGUGAGAUCAGAGCCAGGCAAGAAGGCACCCAGUAAAUGUAGCCCUGGGGGUUGCAAAUCCUGGUCAUUCUGACAAAGACCAGGUAAGCACUUAGCAUGGAAGUCCCUUUGUUCUGAGGCUGUGCCCUGAGUAUGACAGGAAAUUAUCGAACUCUCCAGCCCUUCAGCAAGCCUUUCAUCGCGAGGCAGACUGGGAUUCAGAUGCUGGCUCUGCCAGCCAGUAUCCCCUCUCUGAGUUCAGUGCCCUCAUUUCCACGUGAGGAGAGGAGCAGGACACGCCCCCUCGGCUUAUUCUUCCGCCUGGACUAGGUUGUCGGCAGCACCUGCCCUGACAGGGACCCAGCCAGCCACUGAGUUCCGUUCAGUGUUAUCGCCAGCCGAAUGCCCACCCCUUCCCCUGGUUUGCCUCCCCUUCCCCGUGCAGGGAACGGGAACGCCGAGAGAAGGAGAGAGAAGAAUGGGAACGCCAGUACAGCCGGCAGAGCCGCUCGCCCUCCCCCCGUUACAGUCGAGAAUACAGCUCUUCCCGAAGGCGCUCAAGGUCCAGAUCCCGAAGCCCCCACUACCGACAUUAGGCAGAAGCGUGGGGGGGGGGGGGCAGAGGGGUGAGGGGGUGGGGCGAGGGCUCAAGCUGUGACG
This is a long non-coding RNA of Physeter macrocephalus (sperm whale), 1264 nucleotides long. RefSeq lists it as uncharacterized. The transcript is spliced from 3 exons. The record is from RefSeq and is a predicted model, not a curated record. Lineage: Eukaryota; Metazoa; Chordata; Mammalia; Artiodactyla; Physeteridae.